UACAGGGGGGGCAAGCGUUGUUCGGAAUUACUGGGCGUAAAGGGCUCGUAGGCGGCCAACUAAGUCACACGUGAAAUCCCCAGGCUUAACAUGGGAACUGCGUGUGAUACUGGAUGGCUUGAAUUCGGGAGAGGGAUGCAGAAUUCCAGGUGUAGCGGUGAAAUGCGUAGAUAUCUGGAGGAAUACCGGUGGCGAAGGCGGCAUCCUGGACCGACAUUGACGCUGAGGAGCGAAAGCUAGGGGAGCAAACGGG
This 253-nucleotide ribosomal RNA is filed under the name uncultured bacterium. Its description in RNAcentral is "partial 16S ribosomal RNA". It matches the Rfam family "Bacterial small subunit ribosomal RNA", at positions 524 to 776 of the family's 1533-position model. The record is from RNAcentral.